AGGACGAAUGCUGGCGGCGUGCUUAACACAUGCAAGUCGAACGGUGAAGGAGAGCUUGCUCUCCGGAUCAGUGGCGAACGGGUGAGUAACACGUGGGCAACCUGCCCCUCGCUCCGGGAUAAACCUCGGGAAACCGAUGCUAAUACCGGAUACGACCCGGUGCGACAUCGCACUGGGUGGAAAGAAUUUCGGCGAGGGAUGGGCCCGCGGCCUAUCAGUUUGUUGGUGAGGUAACGGCUCACCAAGACUACGACGGGUAGCCGGCCUGAGAGGGCGACCGGCCACACUGGGACUGAGACACGGCCCAGACUCCUACGGGAGGCAGCAGUGGGGAAUAUUGCACAAUGGGCGAAAGCCUGAUGCAGCGACGCCGCGUGAGGGAUGAAGGCCUUCGGGUUGUAAACCUCUUUCAGCAGGGACGAAGCGAAAAGUGACGGUACCUGCAGAAGAAGCACCGGCUAACACGUGCCAGCAGCCGCGGUAA
RNAcentral lists this ribosomal RNA (484 nucleotides) under uncultured bacterium. RNAcentral's name for it is "SSU rRNA". It matches the Rfam family "Bacterial small subunit ribosomal RNA", at positions 26 to 523 of the family's 1533-position model. The record is from RNAcentral.